AUUGAACGCUGGCGGCAGGCCUAACACAUGCAAGUCGAGCGGAUGAAGGGAGCUUGCUCCUGGAUUCCGCGGCGGACGGGUGAGUAAUGCCUAGGAAUCUGCCUGGUAGUGGGGGAUAACGUCCGGACACGGGCGCUAAUACCGCAUACGUCCUGAGGGAGAAAGUGGGGGAUCUUCGGACCUCACGCUAUCAGAUGAGCCUAGGUCGGAUUAGCUAGUUGGUGGGGUAAAGGCCUACCAAGGCGACGAUCCGUAGCUGAGCUGAGAGGGUGACCAGUCACACUGGAACUGAGACACGGUCCAGACUCCUACGGGAGGCAGCAGUGGGGAAUAUUGGGCAAUGGGCGAAAGCCUGAUCCAGCCAUGCCGCGUGUGUGAAGAAGGUCUUCGGAUUGUAAAGCACUUUUAGUUGGGAGGAAGGGCAGUAAGUUAAUACCUUGCUGUUUUGACGUUACCAACAGAAUAAGCACCGGCUAACUUCGUG
This 484-nucleotide ribosomal RNA is filed under the name uncultured bacterium. RNAcentral describes it as "partial 16S ribosomal RNA". It matches the Rfam family "Bacterial small subunit ribosomal RNA", at positions 30 to 507 of the family's 1533-position model. The record is from RNAcentral.